UGGAGAUACAGCCCUGUCGGA
This 21-nucleotide microRNA is filed under the name Alligator mississippiensis (American alligator). RNAcentral describes it as "ami-miR-139-3p". Its record names the gene ami-miR-139-3p. Lineage: Eukaryota; Metazoa; Chordata; Crocodylia; Alligatoridae. The record is from miRBase by way of RNAcentral.